UCAUGUGAUAAGUAUUCUCACUUUAAUUUGUAACUGCUAAAAUUUCGUAGUGGCGUUGCUUCUGAAUGGUGAAAGUACGGUGCAGUGAAAUUUCUGGAGCCAUGUCUAUAUUAAUGCAAUCAUAAUCACCUAUACUACCUAUCAGAAAGAAAAUAAUAACGUAAAGAAAGGACCAAAAUAUUGAGGGAAAAUGAAUAGAAUAACAGUAGUUAAGGAUAAAGCAAAAAAUAUAACACAUGAAUUGAUGGAAUUU
This 253-nucleotide long non-coding RNA is filed under the name Capsicum annuum. RNAcentral's name for it is "long non-coding RNA (CANN_LNC011255)". Lineage: Eukaryota; Viridiplantae; Streptophyta; Magnoliopsida; Solanales; Solanaceae. The record is from RNAcentral.